Molecule: ribosomal RNA, 126 nt
Filed under: Clostridia bacterium
Lineage: Bacteria; Bacillati; Bacillota; Clostridia
Description: partial 23S ribosomal RNA
Rfam family: Bacterial large subunit ribosomal RNA
Source: RNAcentral
CAAGAUAAGAUAUCCCAUAUCACAAGAUAGUAAGACCCCUUGAAGACUACAAGGUUGAUAGGUCGGGUGUGUAAGUGCAGUAAUGUACGUAGCUAACCGAUACUAAUAGGUCGAGGGCUUAUUCUC